UACGUAGGCGGUUUAUUAAGUCAGAUGUGAAAGCCCCGGGCUUAACCUGGGAACUGCAUUUGAUACUGGUAAACUAGAGUAUGGUAGAGGGGGUAGAAUUCCUAGUGUAGCGGUGAAAUGCGUAGAUAUUAGGAGGAAUACCAGUGGCGAAGGCGGCCCCCCUGGACCAAUACUGACGCUGAGGUACGAAAGCGUGGGUAGCGAACA
This 207-nucleotide ribosomal RNA is filed under the name uncultured bacterium. RNAcentral describes it as "partial 16S ribosomal RNA". It matches the Rfam family "Bacterial small subunit ribosomal RNA", at positions 568 to 774 of the family's 1533-position model. The record is from RNAcentral.